AGAUGUGAGCGCAAUCUGGCUGCAACAUCUGUCACCCCCUUGAUCUUCAGGGUUGAUUCGGCUGAUCUGGCUGACUAGGCGGGUGUCCCCUUCCUCCCACACUGCAUGUCCCUCCCGAAGCUGUGUGCUUGGUCGAAGAGGAUGGCCUUCCCCGAAUAGAGAUGGACCUGUCUUCGGUCAAAGGUAUAUGAGUAGCUGCGACCCCCGUGCUAGAACCUCCAAACAAGCUCUCGAGAUGCCACCUCACAUUGUGAAAAUGGUCUGCCUAAAAAAAUUUGAAAACAACAAAUGUUGGUGUGAAGAUAGAGAAAAAAAGGAUUUCUGGUACACUGUUUAUU
This 338-nucleotide small nuclear RNA is filed under the name Sorex araneus (European shrew). Its description in RNAcentral is "7SK RNA (ENSSARG00000017789.1)". The stretch from base 1 to 293 matches the Rfam family "7SK RNA". Rfam says of the family: 7SK was discovered as an abundant small nuclear RNA in the mid-70s but a possible function has only recently been suggested. Two independent studies have found that 7SK RNA binds the CDK9/cyclin T complex (known as elongation factor P-TEFb). P-TEFb activates transcription by phosphorylating the C-terminal domain of RNA polymerase II. The record is from RNAcentral. Lineage: Eukaryota; Metazoa; Chordata; Mammalia; Eulipotyphla; Soricidae.